CUAUGUCUGACAUUACUAGACAUGGCGGAAGGAG
RNAcentral lists this non-coding RNA (34 nucleotides) under unclassified sequences. RNAcentral describes it as "L31-Firmicutes ribosomal protein leader". It matches the Rfam family "L31-Firmicutes ribosomal protein leader". The record is from RNAcentral.